CCCGGCAGUUGGAAUUCUGAAGCUUGCCGAAGCUGCACGCCUGCGCAGUUAGACCUCCCACGCCUUUGUUGGCGCUUCCAGUUUGGAACAGCUGCUUCCGGCUCGCUGAGACCCAGCCAUGGAAAGCACAGAAAGGCAUGUGACAAGAAACUCAUGGCUUUUAAUCCUGGCAGGACAAGGAAAACCCCAAGUCAAAGAUACGCAUAUAUUUUGCUACUCUCCUCUUGGGGGGACAGUUCGUCACAUUUAAUAAAACUCUCUCCCCUCCCUCC
Molecule: long non-coding RNA, 272 nt
Organism: Cercocebus atys (sooty mangabey)
Lineage: Eukaryota; Metazoa; Chordata; Mammalia; Primates; Cercopithecidae
Exons: 2
Source: RefSeq, a predicted model, not a curated record